GACUACAGAACACAGAGAUCAAACGAGGGCAAUCAGGGAGGAAUCCUGUUGGUGUUCUCUCUUACUCGGUUCGAGUUGUUUGGCUAGAAAAAUCAUUCUCUCAACCCGAAAGAAGCUUAAAUAGCAACACUGUAAUUACCUACUGUUGCAUGUGACAGGCUUCUCUGUAUAUGUGGGGAUUCUGUUUGUGUAUGAUGUUGCUAUUUUCUUUUUUAUUUCAGGGAAAAUCCAGAAAACAUCAGCAGCUCUUAAAAUAUUAUUUAUUCACUUUAAUUGGAAAAUAGUAGUAUAAUAUUCUACAUAAGACUGGUUCUGCAUAUACAUUGAUCAAACACAAUAUUAUGACUUUGUUUCUACACCCAUUAUAUAUUUUUUAGCUCGACUGAGCAUAUAGGAGCACAUUGUAUUUUUUAUAACUAUAGUCUGUAAUCCGGUUUCUGUUUCUCUGCAUACUUCAUUGUCCUCCUUUCACCCUGUUCUUCACUGGUCAGCAUCUCAUAGGACCACCAGAGAGCAGCAAUUAUCAUUUGGGUGGUGGGUAAUUCUUAGCACUGCAGUAACACUGGAAUGGUAGUGAUGUGUUAGUGUGUUAGAGAAUGACAAAAACAAACUGUGCAGCAAAAGAUGAGCUUCUGUCUCUGAUUUUACAUCUACAAGGUGGAGCAGCUACAGUGGGUAGGAGUGUCUAAUAGAGUAAAAAUUGAUGAGACACAGGGUUUAAGAACUCAAGCAGCACUGCUGUGUUUGAACACACUAACACAACACUAGCAGUCUGUCACUGCAGUGCUGAGAAUGACCUAUCUUUAGAACAAGGUGAAAGGAGGAUAAUAGAGUACUAUAUUUUUUGGACUAUAAGGGGCACUUAAAAUACUGUAGUGAACUGAGGGGGCGGGGAGAUGAGUGAACACGUGUUGAAAAAUACUGGCAAUAUAAGGAACACCUAAGGGGUCCUCAAGGGGGGGCACGGCCAGGUAGACGUGAGAGGAAGCGCGUGCUGCCGGAUGAGACGCUGGUGUGGCGUGCUCUGGGAGAGUGCACUGAACUCUGUUUGCCUCGGCGUGAACCAAGGAGAAGACUGAACUUUUAUGGGACUUUGAUGAACUACAGCGAGUGUGCGCUCCGGACUCUGUAUCUAUCGCAUCUGAACGUCUCGUCACCCAGCGGUGAGAUCUGCUGAAUUAGAAGGAAAGCAUGGUGAUACCCCUGUUCCUAACCAGUGCCACUUAAAAUGCGCAUUAUAAUCCGGUGCGCCUUGUGUAUGAAAAAUGUUUUUUUAUACACAAGGAAUAUCAGGAACAACCCUGAUGUUUUUUGAUGCACCUUAUAAUCCGGAUGAAAAAAAUAUGACAAACCAAGUCUCCCUGAAGCUGCGGGAGUCUCCCGCAUUUCGGUAGUGGCUCCCGGAUGCCCGCGAGUCACAUAUAAUCUCCCGGAAUUCAGAACAAGCACAAACGCGCACACAGGCGACAGACUUUUUUUCUCUAAUCGCGUGUGGGAAGGAGAGAGAGAAAACAGAGAGGGUUCUGAUUGGCCUGUUCUCUGCAAAGUGUCUGUGAGACAGCCAAUCAGUUUUUAGUGUGGGCGGGCAGUGUUUUUCCCCCCUCCCGGACCGGAUUUGUUCAGAGAGUGAGAGAAAGCAGAUCAUGGCGGAGGCAAUAUUAAUAAUUAUUGUAAUAUGAUAUGAAAUGUUUUUGAUGUUGUGCAAUUUCUUGUGAUAUUGUUACUGUCAAUUUUUGUCAAAUAAUUUUUGCCUUCCAAAAAGAAAAAAGAUAAAACUCAUUU
This 1782-nucleotide long non-coding RNA is filed under the name Astyanax mexicanus (Mexican tetra). Its description in RNAcentral is "lncRNA (ENSAMXG00005023346.1)". The record is from RNAcentral. Lineage: Eukaryota; Metazoa; Chordata; Actinopteri; Characiformes; Acestrorhamphidae.